RNAcentral lists this ribosomal RNA (253 nucleotides) under uncultured bacterium. RNAcentral describes it as "partial 16S ribosomal RNA". It matches the Rfam family "Bacterial small subunit ribosomal RNA", at positions 524 to 776 of the family's 1533-position model. The record is from RNAcentral.
GACAGAGGGGGCAAGCGUUGUCCGGAUUUACUGGGCGUACAGCGCGCGCAGGCGGUGGACCAGGUGCCCUGUGACAUCCCGCAGCUCAACUGCGGGCGGCCAGGGUAGACCAGCCCACUGGAGGCAGAGAGAGGCAGGUGGAAUACCCGGUGGAGCGGUGAAAUGCGUAGAGAUCGGGUGGAACACCAGCGGCGCAAGCGGCCUGCUGGCUCUGAACUGACGCUGAGGCGCGAGAGCGUGGGGAGCAAACCGG